RNAcentral lists this ribosomal RNA (274 nucleotides) under uncultured bacterium. RNAcentral's name for it is "partial 16S ribosomal RNA". It matches the Rfam family "Bacterial small subunit ribosomal RNA", at positions 523 to 796 of the family's 1533-position model. The record is from RNAcentral.
AUACGGAGGGUGCUAGCGUUGCUCGGAAUUACUGGGCUUAAAGCGUACGUAGGCGGACAUGCAGGCAUCUUGUGAAAGCCCUCGGCUCAACCGAGGAAUUGCAUGGUGAACCGCUUGUCUUGAGGCGAGUAGGGGCUGUCGGAACGAUAGGUGGAGCGGUGAAAUGCGUUGAUAUCUAUCGGAACGCCAAAGGCGAAGGCAGACAGCUGGGCUUGUCCUGACGCUGAGGUACGAAAGCGUGGGGAGCGAACGGGAUUAGAAACCCGGGUAGUCC